GGUAGUCCACGCCGUAAACGAUGGACACUAGGUGUGGGAGGUGUCGACUCCUCCCGUGCCGAAGCUAACGCAUUAAGUGUCCCGCCUGGGGAGUACGGCCGCAAGGCUAAAACUCAAAGGAAUUGACGGGGCCCGCACAAGCAGCGGAGCAUGUGGUUUAAUUCGACGAAACGCGAAGAACCUUACCUGGGCUUGACAUGUCGGUGACAGGUGUGGAAACACAUCCUCCCUUCGGGGGCACCGUCACAGGUGGUGCAUGGCUGUCGUCAGCUCGUGUCGUGAGAUGUUGGGUUAAG
RNAcentral lists this ribosomal RNA (296 nucleotides) under uncultured bacterium. RNAcentral describes it as "partial 16S ribosomal RNA". It matches the Rfam family "Bacterial small subunit ribosomal RNA", at positions 789 to 1084 of the family's 1533-position model. The record is from RNAcentral.